RNAcentral lists this ribosomal RNA (487 nucleotides) under uncultured bacterium. RNAcentral's name for it is "bacterial SSU rRNA". It matches the Rfam family "Bacterial small subunit ribosomal RNA", at positions 32 to 524 of the family's 1533-position model. The record is from RNAcentral.
AAUCAACGCUGGCGGCGUGCCUAACACAUGCAAGUCGAGCGAGAAAGGGGCUUCGGCCCUGAGUAAAGCGGCGCACGGGUGAGUAACACGUGGGUAAUCUGCCCUAGAGUGGGGAAUAACAUCGGGAAACCGAUGCUAAUACCGCAUACGAUCACGAGGUCUUCGGAUUUUGUGAUGAAAGGAGCAAUCCGCUCUUGGAGGAGCCCGCGGCUGAUUAGCUAGNGGUAAGGUAAUGGCUUACCAAGGCUACGAUCAGUAUCCGGUCUGAGAGGACGGUCGGACACACUGGAACUGAGACACGGUCCAGACUCCUACGGGAGGCAGCAGUGGGGAAUUUUGGCAAUGGGGGAAACCCUGACCAAGCAACGCCGCGUGGAUGAUGAAGUAUCUUGGUACGUAAAAUCCUUUCGACAGGGAAGAAACCCGCAAGGGUUGACGGUACCUGUAGAAGAAGCCCGGCUAACUCCGUGCCAGCAGCCGCCGUAAC